Molecule: ribosomal RNA, 451 nt
Filed under: uncultured bacterium
Lineage: Bacteria
Description: bacterial SSU rRNA
Rfam family: Bacterial small subunit ribosomal RNA
Source: RNAcentral
AGAGUUUGAUUCUGGCUCAGGACGAACGCUGGCGGUGCGCUUAAUGCAUGCAAGUCGAACGAGAACGGCGGCUUCGGUCGCCAAGUAAAGUGGCAGACGGCUGAGUAACACGUAAGUAACCAACCCCGGAGCGGGGAAUAAUCAUGAGAAAUCGUGCCUAAUACCCCGUACGUCCCAACAGGCGUUGCCGUUGGGGGAAAGGCUUCGGUCGCUCUGGGACGGGCUUGCGGCCUAUCAGGUAGUUGGUGGGGUAAAGGCCCACCAAGCCAUAGACGGGUACCCGGUGUGAGAGCACGAACGGGCAGAGGGGGACUGAGACACGGCCCCCACUCCUACGGGAGGCAGCAGCAGGGAAUCUUGCGCAAUGGGCGAAAGCCUGACGCAGCGACACCGCGUGGAGGAAGAAGGCUUUCGGGUCGUAAACUCCUUUUCUCGGGGAAGAGAACGGACG